GAUGAACGCUGACAGAAUGCUUAACACAUGCAAGUCAACUUGAAUUUGGGUUUUUAACUUAGGUUUGGGUGGCGGACGGGUGAGUAACGCGUAAAGAACUUGCCUCACAGCUAGGGACAACAUUUGGAAACGAAUGCUAAUACCUAAUAUUAUGAUAAUAGGGCAUCCUAUAAUUAUGAAAGCUAUAAGCGCUGUGAGAGAGCUUUGCGUCCCAUUAGCUAGUUGGAGAGGUAACGGCUCACCAAGGCGAUGAUGGGUAGCCGGCCUGAGAGGGUGAUCGGCCACAAGGGGACUGAGACACGGCCCUUACUCCUACGGGAGGCAGCAGUGGGGAAUAUUGGACAAUGGACCGAGAGUCUGAUCCAGCAAUUCUGUGUGCACGAUGAAGUUUUUCGGAAUGUAAAGUGCUUUCAGUUGGGAAGAAAAAAAUGACGGUACCAACAGAAGAAGUGACGGCUAAAUACGUGCCAGCAGCCGCGGUAAUACGUAUGUCACGAGCGUUAUCCGGAUUUAUUGGGCGUAAAGCGCGUCUAGGUGGUUAUAUAAGUCUGAUGUGAAAAUGCAGGGCUCAACUCUGUAUUGCGUUGGAAACUGUAUAACUAGAGUACUGGAGAGGUAAGCGGAACUACAAGUGUAGAGGUGAUAUUCGUAGAUAUUUGUAGGAAUGCCGAUGGGGAAGCCAGCUUACUGGACAGAUACUGACGCUGAAGCGCGAAAGCGUGGGUAGCAAACAGG
This 735-nucleotide ribosomal RNA is filed under the name uncultured Fusobacterium sp. Its description in RNAcentral is "bacterial SSU rRNA". It matches the Rfam family "Bacterial small subunit ribosomal RNA", at positions 28 to 776 of the family's 1533-position model. Lineage: Bacteria; Fusobacteriati; Fusobacteriota; Fusobacteriia; Fusobacteriales; Fusobacteriaceae. The record is from RNAcentral.